RNAcentral lists this ribosomal RNA (440 nucleotides) under uncultured bacterium. RNAcentral's name for it is "bacterial SSU rRNA". It matches the Rfam family "Bacterial small subunit ribosomal RNA", at positions 339 to 796 of the family's 1533-position model. The record is from RNAcentral.
CUACGGGAGGCAGCAGUCGAGAAUCUUCCGCAAUGGACGAAAGUCUGACGGAGCGACGCCGCGUGCGGGAUGAAGGCCUUCGGGUUGUAAACCGCUGUCGAAGGGGAGCAAAUUUGAGCGAUCCUUGGAGGAAGCACAGGCUAAAUUCGUGCCAGCAGCCGCGGUAAUACGAAUUGUGCAAACGUUAUUCGGAAUCACUGGGCUUAAAGGGUGCGUAGGCGGCCAUGAAGGUCUGAUGUGAAAUCCCACGGCUCAACCGUGGAAUUGCGUUGGAAACCACAUGGCUCGAGUAGGACAGAGGUGGGCGGAACUGAUGGUGGAGCGGUGAAAUGCGUUGAUAUCAUCAGGAACACCGGUGGCGAAAGCGGCCCACUGGGUCCUAACUGACGCUGAGGCACGAAAGCCAGGGGAGCAAACGGGAUUAGAUACCCCAGUAGUCC